GCAAACUUGGUCAUUUAGAGGAAGUAAAAGUCGUAACAAGGUUUCCGUAGGUGAACCUGCGGAAGGAUCAUUAACGAGUCCAGGCGGACGACGCUUUAAACGUCGCCCGUCCACCUCUCCACCCGUGUCUAUAUUACCACGUUGCUUCGGCGGUUUCGCGGUUUCGCGGCCGCCGAAGACCCCUAGAACUCUGCCUGGAAGGUUGCAGUCUGAGCGAUAAAAUAAAUCAGCAAAACUUUCAACAACGGAUCUCUUGGUUCCGGCAUCGAUGAAGAACGCAGC
Molecule: unclassified non-coding RNA, 282 nt
Filed under: uncultured fungus
Lineage: Eukaryota; Fungi
Description: partial contains small subunit ribosomal RNA, internal transcribed spacer 1, and 5.8S ribosomal RNA
Rfam family: Eukaryotic small subunit ribosomal RNA (bases 1-73)
Source: RNAcentral